GAGGGGAGUGUGCAGAGGAGAGACUCGCAAAACCGCAGCUGCACUUGCCAGCCACUAGCCUGGCGUCUGGUGUCUGUUGGUCAGCUGAGCGGCACUCCUGCUGUGGGAGUGCACUGACCACCAGGGGGCAGCUCCUGCUUUGAGUGUCUGCCCCCUGGUGGUCA
Pipistrellus kuhlii (Kuhl's pipistrelle) is the source of this 164-nucleotide long non-coding RNA. RefSeq lists it as uncharacterized. The record is from RefSeq and is a predicted model, not a curated record. Lineage: Eukaryota; Metazoa; Chordata; Mammalia; Chiroptera; Vespertilionidae. The transcript has 3 exons.